This 73-nucleotide transfer RNA is filed under the name Marmota monax (woodchuck). RNAcentral's name for it is "tRNA.Ala". The record is from RNAcentral. Lineage: Eukaryota; Metazoa; Chordata; Mammalia; Rodentia; Sciuridae.
UGGAGAUGUUGCUCAGUGGUACAGUGCUUGCCUAGCAUGUGUGAGGCUCUGGGAUCAACCUCCAGCACUGCAA